AUUGAACGCUGGCGGCAGGCCUAACACAUGCAAGUCGAGCGGAUGAAGGGAGCUUGCUCCUGGAUUCAGCGGCGGACGGGUGAGUAAUGCCUAGGAAUCUGCCUGGUAGUGGGGGAUAACGUCCGGAAACGGGCGCUAAUACCGCAUACGUCCUGAGGGAGAAAGUGGGGGAUCUUCGGACCUCACGCUAUCAGAUGAGCCUAGGUCGGAUUAGCUAGUUGGUGGGGUAAAGGCCUACCAAGGCGACGAUCCGUAACUGGUCUGAGAGGAUGAUCAGUCACACUGGAACUGAGAAACGGUCCAGACUCCUACGGGAGGAAGCAGUGGGGAAUAUUGGACAAUGGGGGAAAGCCUGAUCCAGCCAUGCCGCGUGUGUGAAGAAGGUCUUCGGAUUGUAAAGCACUUUAAGUUGGGAGGAAGGGCAGUAAGUUAAUACCUUGCUGUUUUGACGUUACCAACAGAAUAAGCACCGGCUAACUUCGUG
Molecule: ribosomal RNA, 484 nt
Filed under: uncultured bacterium
Lineage: Bacteria
Description: partial 16S ribosomal RNA
Rfam family: Bacterial small subunit ribosomal RNA
Source: RNAcentral